RNAcentral lists this microRNA precursor (46 nucleotides) under Ciona intestinalis (vase tunicate). Its description in RNAcentral is "microRNA cin-mir-4205 precursor". Lineage: Eukaryota; Metazoa; Chordata; Ascidiacea; Phlebobranchia; Cionidae. The record is from miRBase by way of RNAcentral.
CGGUUUAAUUGGAUGGAAAAUAUGAGCGUCUCGUCUGGUUGUCCCG